GGCGACAUAACCGAGUGGUAAGGUAGAGGACUGCAAUUUUUUUUUUCAGUUCAAAUCCGGGUGUCGCCU
This 69-nucleotide transfer RNA is filed under the name Capsicum annuum. It matches the Rfam family "tRNA". From Rfam's summary of the family: Transfer RNA (tRNA) molecules are approximately 80 nucleotides in length. Their secondary structure includes four short double-helical elements and three loops (D, anti-codon, and T loops). The record is from Rfam by way of RNAcentral. Lineage: Eukaryota; Viridiplantae; Streptophyta; Magnoliopsida; Solanales; Solanaceae.